ACACGUGAGUAACCUGCCCUUGACUCUGGGAUAAGCCUGGGAAACUGGGUCUAAUACCGGAUAUGACUCCUCAUCGCAUGGUGGGGGGUGGAAAGCUUUAUUGUGGUUUUGGAUGGACUCGCGGCCUAUCAGCUUGUUGGUGAGGUAAUGGCUCACCAAGGCGACGACGGGUAGCCGGCCUGAGAGGGUGACCGGCCACACUGGGACUGAGACACGGCCCAGACUCCUACGGGAGGCAGCAGUGGGGAAUAUUGCACAAUGGGCGAAAGCCUGAUGCAGCGACGCCGCGUGAGGGAUGACGGCCUUCGGGUUGUAAACCUCUUUCAGUAGGGAAGAAGCGAAAGUGACGGUACCUGCAGAAGAAGCGCCGGCUAACUACGUGCCAGCAGCCGCGGUAAUACGUAGGGCGCAAGCGUUAUCCGGAAUUAUUGGGCGUAAAGAGCUCGUAGGCGGUUUGUCGCGUCUGCCGUGAAAGUCCGGGGCUCAACUCCGGAUCUGCGGUGGGUACGGGCAGACUAGAGUGAUGUAGGGGAGACUGGAAUUCCUGGUGUAGCGGUGAAAUGCGCAGAUAUCAGGAGGAACACCGAUGGCGAAGGCAGGUCUCUGGGCAUUAACUGACGCUGAGGAGCGAAAGCAUGGGGAGCGAACAGGAUUAGAUACCCUGGUAGUCCAUGCCGUAAACGUUGGGCACUAGGUGUGGGGGACAUUCCACGUUUUCCGCGCCGUAGCUAACGCAUUAAGUGCCCCGCCUGGGGAGUACGGCCGCAAGGCUAAAACUCAAAGGAAUUGACGGGGGCCCGCACAAGCGGCGGAGCAUGCGGAUUAAUUCGAUGCAACGCGAAGAACCUUACCAAGGCUUGACAUGAACCGGAAACGUCUGGAAACAGGCGCCCCACUUGUGGUCGGUUUACAGGUGGUGCAUGGUUGUCGUCAGCUCGUGUCGUGAGAUGUUGGGUUAAGUCCCGCAACGAGCGCAACCCUCGUUCCAUGUUGCCAGCGCGUAAUGGCGGGGACUCAUGGGAGACUGCCGGGGUCAACUCGGAGGAAGGUGGGGACGACGUCAAAUCAUCAUGCCCCUUAUGUCUUGGGCUUCACGCAUGCUACAAUGGCCGGUACAAAGGGUUGCGAUACUGUGAGGUGGAGCUAAUCCCAAAAAGCCGGUCUCAGUUCGGAUUGGGGUCUGCAACUCGACCCCA
This 1196-nucleotide ribosomal RNA is filed under the name Arthrobacter sp. WLJ052. RNAcentral's name for it is "bacterial SSU rRNA". It matches the Rfam family "Bacterial small subunit ribosomal RNA", at positions 113 to 1320 of the family's 1533-position model. The record is from RNAcentral. Lineage: Bacteria; Bacillati; Actinomycetota; Actinomycetes; Micrococcales; Micrococcaceae.